Molecule: ribosomal RNA, 250 nt
Filed under: uncultured bacterium
Lineage: Bacteria
Description: partial 16S ribosomal RNA
Rfam family: Bacterial small subunit ribosomal RNA
Source: RNAcentral
UAGAUACCCUGGUAGUCCACGCCGUAAACGAUGGAUACUAGCUGUUGGGUUGCAAGACUCAGUGGCUAAGCGAAAGUGAUAAGUAUCCCACCUGGGGAGUACGAACGCAAGUUUGAAACUCAAAGGAAUUGACGGGGGCCCGCACAAGCGGUGGAGCAUGUGGUUUAAUUCGAUGAUACGCGAGGAACCUUACCAAGGCUUAAAUGUAGAUUGACAGGUUUGGAAACAGACUUUUCUUCGGACAAUUUAC